RNAcentral lists this long non-coding RNA (736 nucleotides) under Salmo trutta (river trout). RNAcentral's name for it is "lncRNA (ENSSTUG00000029835.1)". The record is from RNAcentral. Lineage: Eukaryota; Metazoa; Chordata; Actinopteri; Salmoniformes; Salmonidae.
AUGGCUCUAUUUCCAGCUUUUGCAGGAUUAUCAAAUACAAAAACUGAGAAUGCACCUAAAGUGAGGAGGUGCAGUGUCAGCUGGAGGGGUCUUUUGUGUGGCUGGACGACCUCUAGACCCUCACCGAUUGGCCCUUCUGCGUGGACAGAAGAGCAGACCUCUCCAACUGGGAGUAUAAAUUGCUCUACAGAGAAGACAUCGCUAGGCAGCCAUCUUCCUCCAGCAUUGUCAUUUCCUCAGGCAUGCAGGCCACUCAGAAAAGGCUGUGCCAAUGUUCCAGUGCCUGCUGGACUUCAUCUUCUUCAAGCCAGACACUGUCAAGGACCUAUCCACCAGACAACAGGCCUUCCCCGUCAACACCACCUCAUAAGAUUGCCUGCUGCAGUUGUUCGAGAGAUGUCCAGUUUGCAGCCGAACAUGCAGCAUAGAGAAGUCCAGAAAGGAGGCCUUCAUCAGCCACAUGUUGGCAAGUAUCUGGCCAGCAACCUUCACCUGUCAGCAGCAAAAGCUUUCACAGGCUCAUCAUUUGUACAAAUAUAGAAGGUAACUCACUUUAUUACUUUGAUACAUUUGAAAACCCAAUUGUGAAACAUAAUUUAUGUAAACUGACAUUAUUUGUUGACACAUACAGUUGAAGUCGGAAGUUUACAUACACCUCAGCCAAAUACAUUUAAACUCAGUUUUUCAUAAUUCCUGACAUUUAAUCCUAGUAAAAAUUCCCUGUUUUAGGUCAGUU